Chrysemys picta bellii (western painted turtle) is the source of this 578-nucleotide long non-coding RNA. RefSeq lists it as uncharacterized. The record is from RefSeq and is a predicted model, not a curated record. NCBI's taxonomy places the organism in Eukaryota, Metazoa, Chordata, Testudines, Emydidae.
GUCUGGGCUCCUGCAUUCCUCCUUUCAGCUGAGGAGGGCGGGCCUUUCAUUCAAUCCACAAGGCUGGUGCCUUUCAUCAGCACAAAAUUCUAUUUCAGGAGGAAGGGGAAAAAUAAAUCAAUCAGAAAACCAAGAUGGAAACGCCUUGAAAUUUGGAGCUGCUCUGUAAUAAAUGAUGAAUGAUACAUCCUGUCUGUCUGAUUGCUGUGAGGGUGCAUCCACCCCAGCAGGGAAAAGGAACUUCAUCUGGGGAUACAUUUCAGAAGAAUACAUUUUAAAGGUUUACUGGUCUAGAAAGAGAGAGGGAGCAAACCCCUACAUUAUCCUUCACCAGAGGAGACAAAGAAAACCAGCGCUUUGGACUCUGGGGAUCCUGACUAAAAGCUGGUCAGCAUUGCUGGAAACAGAAGAUUGAUGAGGAAAUUACCUCGUACAAAGGCUGUAGCUUGUUAAGUUAGGUCUUAGCUGUUAGCCUAUUUUUACUUUUGUUUGUAACUCUUUCUACCUUUAUACCUUCUCUUUGGUAUCACUUCACCUAUGUCCUUUUGUUAAUAAACUUGUUCUGUUUUUACUAUAAA